GAGCGGCGAACGGGUGAGUAACACGUGAGUAACCUGCCCCUGACUCUGGGAUAAGCCUGGGAAACUGGGUCUAAUACCGGAUAUGACACUCUUCGGCAUCGAAUGGGUGUGGAAAGUUUUUUCGGUUGGGGAUGGGCUCGCGGCCUAUCAGCUUGUUGGUGGGGUAGUGGCCUACCAAGGCGACGACGGGUAGCCGGCCUGAGAGGGCGACCGGCCACACUGGGACUGAGACACGGCCCAGACUCCUACGGGAGGCAGCAGUGGGGAAUAUUGCGCAAUGGGCGGAAGCCUGACGCAGCGACGCCGCGUGGGGGAUGACGGCCUUCGGGUUGUAAACCUCUUUCAGCAGGGACGAAGUUGACGUGUACCUGUAGAAGAAGCGCCGGCUAACUACGUGCCAGCAGCCGCGGUAAUACGUAGGGCGCAAGCGUUGUCCGGAAUUAUUGGGCGUAAAGAGCUCGUAGGUGGCUUGUUGCGUCUGCCGUGAAAGCCCGUGGCUUAACUGCGGGUCUGCGGUGGAUACGGGCAGGCUAGAGGCUGGUAGGGGCAAGCGGAAUUCCU
RNAcentral lists this ribosomal RNA (561 nucleotides) under Planotetraspora sp. 418B02. RNAcentral's name for it is "bacterial SSU rRNA". It matches the Rfam family "Bacterial small subunit ribosomal RNA", at positions 93 to 671 of the family's 1533-position model. The record is from RNAcentral. Lineage: Bacteria; Bacillati; Actinomycetota; Actinomycetes; Streptosporangiales; Streptosporangiaceae.